RNAcentral lists this transfer RNA (85 nucleotides) under Candidatus Uhrbacteria bacterium. RNAcentral describes it as "tRNA-Leu". It matches the Rfam family "tRNA". From Rfam's summary of the family: Transfer RNA (tRNA) molecules are approximately 80 nucleotides in length. Their secondary structure includes four short double-helical elements and three loops (D, anti-codon, and T loops). Further hydrogen bonds mediate the characteristic L-shaped molecular structure. tRNAs have two regions of fundamental functional importance: the anti-codon, which is responsible for specific mRNA codon recognition, and the 3' end, to which the tRNAs corresponding amino acid is attached (by aminoacyl-tRNA synthetases). tRNAs cope with the degeneracy of the genetic code in two manners: having more than one tRNA (with a specific anti-codon) for a particular amino acid; and 'wobble' base-pairing, i.e. permitting non-standard base-pairing at the 3rd anti-codon position. Lineage: Bacteria; Candidatus Uhriibacteriota. The record is from RNAcentral.
GCCGGGAUGGCGGAACUGGUAGACGCGCAGGUCUCAAACACCUGUAUGGCAACAUGUGCGGGUUCGAUCCCCGCUCCCGGCACCA